Long non-coding RNA from Stegostoma tigrinum, 433 nucleotides. RefSeq lists it as uncharacterized. The transcript has 3 exons. NCBI's taxonomy places the organism in Eukaryota, Metazoa, Chordata, Chondrichthyes, Orectolobiformes, Stegostomatidae. The record is from RefSeq and is a predicted model, not a curated record.
UUUCUCAACGUAGACUGUUCGGUUUAAAAUGACUGUCAGGCGUCCUUUGUCUGCAGCCAACAAAGCUGCACUGGGAGGACAUCCAGAAAUUAGCAAAGCCUGCCAAUGAAACCAAACAAGCUUAAAAACGACUCAAUACAGAAAUGCUGCCACGGCUGCCAAGCAUAUUCCUGGAUAUCAGCAAAUGCAGCUGCCGUCCAACCAGCUUUUAAAGUCAAAACCAACAUCAAGUUGGAGUGGGGUGGGAACAAGGUCAACGACUCACCCCCUCUGGCAGAGAUAUGUCCAUGAUGUGGUAAGACCCUUACCCCAUGCAACCAGAAAUUUGGACUUGCUUGUUGUACAGUAUAUAUUGAGUACCAACAUGCUUCAUCACAUCAUGGAAGAAAAUGGAUUUAAACCAUACUCCCCCUAAAAGGAAAUGAUCUCACCU